UACGUAGGCAGCGAGCGUUGUUCGGAGUUACUGGGCGUAAAGGGUGUGUAGGCGGUUUUCUAAGUUUGGUGUGAAAUCUCCCGGCUCAACCGGGAGGGUGCGCCGAAAACUGGGAGACUAGAGUGCGGGAUGGGAGAGUAGAAUUCCUGGUGUAGCGGUGAAAUGCGUAGAUAUCAGGAGGAAUACCGGUGGUGUAGACGGCUCUCUGGACCGCCACUGACGCUGAGACACGAAAGCGUGGGGAUCAAACAGG
This 253-nucleotide ribosomal RNA is filed under the name uncultured bacterium. Its description in RNAcentral is "partial 16S ribosomal RNA". It matches the Rfam family "Bacterial small subunit ribosomal RNA", at positions 524 to 776 of the family's 1533-position model. The record is from RNAcentral.